This 246-nucleotide ribosomal RNA is filed under the name uncultured bacterium. RNAcentral's name for it is "partial 16S ribosomal RNA". It matches the Rfam family "Bacterial small subunit ribosomal RNA", at positions 109 to 354 of the family's 1533-position model. The record is from RNAcentral.
CGUAACGUGAGCAACCUGCCGUUUCAGAGGGGAGUAACAGUUGGAAACGACUGCUAAUACCGCAUAACGCUGCGAUGGGGCAUCCCGAUGCAGCCAAAGGAGCAAUCCGCUGAAAGAUGGGCUCGCGGCCGAUUAGCUAGUUGGUGGGGCAACGGCCCACCAAGGCGACGAUCGGUAGCCGGACUGAGAGGUUGAUCGGCCACAUUGGGACUGAGACACGGCCCAGACUCCUACGGAAGGCAGCAG